GAUGAACGCUGGCGGCGUGCCUAAUACAUGCAAGUCGAGCGAACAGAUGAGGAGCUUGCUCCUCUGACGUUAGCGGCGGACGGGUGAGUAACACGUGGAUAACCUACCUAUAAGACUGGGAUAACUUCGGGAAACCGGAGCUAAUACCGGAUAAUAUAUUGAACCGCAUGGUUCAAUAGUGAAAGACGGUUUUGCUGUCACUUAUAGAUGGAUCCGCGCCGCAUUAGCUAGUUGGUAAGGUAACGGCUUACCAAGGCAACGAUGCGUAGCCGACCUGAGAGGGUGAUCGGCCACACUGGGACUGAGACACGGUCCAGACUCCUACGGGAGGCAGCAGUAGGGAAUCUUCCGCAAUGGGCGAAAGCCUGACGGAGCAACGCCGCGUGAGUGAUGAAGGUCUUCGGAUCGUAAAACUCUGUUAUUAGGGAAGAACAAAUGUGUAAGUAACUAUGCACGUCUUGACGGUACCUAAUCAGAAAGCCGCGGCUAACUACGUG
This 497-nucleotide ribosomal RNA is filed under the name uncultured bacterium. RNAcentral describes it as "partial 16S ribosomal RNA". It matches the Rfam family "Bacterial small subunit ribosomal RNA", at positions 28 to 507 of the family's 1533-position model. The record is from RNAcentral.